RNAcentral lists this non-coding RNA (21 nucleotides) under Caenorhabditis elegans. The record is from RNAcentral. Lineage: Eukaryota; Metazoa; Nematoda; Chromadorea; Rhabditida; Rhabditidae.
UCACUACUCAUUUUUUGUAUU